AUUGAACGCUGGCGGCAGGCUUAACACAUGCAAGUCGAGCGGGGGAAGGUAGCUUGCUACUGGACCUAGCGGCGGACGGGUAAGUAAUGCUUAGGAAUCUGCCUAUUAGUGGGGGACAACAUCUCGAAAGGGAUGCUAAUACCGCAUACGUCCUACGGGAGAAAGCAGGGGAUCUUCGGACCUUGCGCUAAUAGAUGAGCCUAAGUCGGAUUAGCUAGUUGGUGGGGUAAAGGCCUACCAAGGCGACGAUCUGUAGCGGGUCUGAGAGGAUGAUCCGCCACACUGGGACUGAGACACGGCCCAGACUCCUACGGGAGGCAGCAGUGGGGAAUAUUGGACAAUGGGGGGAACCCUGAUCCAGCCAUGCCGCGUGUGUGAAGAAGGCCUUAUGGUUGUAAAGCACUUUAAGCGAGGAGGAGGCUACUUUAGUUAAUACCUAGAGAUAGUGGACGUUACUCGCAGAAUAAGCACCGGCUAACUCUGUGCCAGCAGCCGCGGUAA
RNAcentral lists this ribosomal RNA (501 nucleotides) under uncultured bacterium. Its description in RNAcentral is "partial 16S ribosomal RNA". It matches the Rfam family "Bacterial small subunit ribosomal RNA", at positions 30 to 523 of the family's 1533-position model. The record is from RNAcentral.